AUGGCACUAGAAGCAAUAUAUGGAGAUGACCUUGUUGAAUUUGAAAGCAGAGGAGGGCUCCGUUAUUUCCAGAUUUACAUACGUUAUGAUCUGCCUGAUGGUGCUGAAUUGUGCGCUAAGCUUUCUUCCCUUGGUGAAAACUCAAAACAUGGAGGAUGUCCUGAUGGUGGUAGCGAAGACCAUGAAAAUAAACCAGAUGAAUUCUCUUACACUAGCAACUUUGAGUACUUGCCUCCGUUGGUUUUGACAUGCUUCCUUCCAAAAUCAUAUCCUAGCAAGGACCCACCAUGUUUCACUCUCACCGCUAAAUGGAUGGAUGAGCAUAAUGUUUCUCAACUCUGUGAGAUGCUUGAUUCCAUCUGGGCAGAGUUGCAGGGGCAAGAAGUGGUUUAUCAAUGGGUUGAGUGGAUACACAAUUCUUCAUUGUCACAUCUCUGGUUUGAUGGCAAAAUAAUGUUAGGCCAAGAUGACACCCCAGCACCCAAAGUAGAUAUGCGUGCAAUCUCAAGAAGGGUCUCAUUGGAAUCUGUCAUCCCUUCAAUGCUCAGCUACUGUAGUAAGAAGCAUUACCAAGCUUUUCUUGAGGAUCUCCAUAUGUGCAUGAUAUGCCUCAACCAGAGCACAGGUUCGAACUUCAUCAAGCUUCCAUGCCAGCACUUGUUUUGUGCGAAGUGCAUGGAGACAUUGUGCAGAAUGCAUGUGAAGGAAGGGAGUGUGUUCCAGUUGGUAUGCCCUGACGCCAAGUGCAAUGCUUCCAUUCCACAACAUGUCUUAAAGCAGCUUCUUAGCGAAGAAGAAUUCGAACGCUGGGAUAGGCUUGCUCUCGAGAAAGCCUUGGACUCGAUGGCAGACGUGGUUUUCUGCCCAAAGUGUGUAAUUGGUUGCGUGGAAGACGAGGAUAACACUGCGCAGUGUCCAAAGUGUUCCUUCAUCUUCUGCUCGUUUUGUAAGGAGCUCUGGCAUCCAGGGAAGCAGUGCCUAACUCCAGAACAAAAGAUCCAGCACCGGAAGGCAUCAGGUAGGAUGAGUGAGAGGGAGAUGGCGCAAGAACUGCUGAACAUUAAAGAGCUAUAUAAGGAUGUUCGGUUAUGUCCCCAUUGUCGGAUGGCCAUCAGCAAAACUGCAGGCUGCAACAAAAUGACGGAUUGCAAGCUCUUUGAGGCUAGGGAUAUUGCAGAAUGGGAGAGAGAAAUGGACCAAAUACAAAUAGGAAACCAGAUUCGAGCCCAGCAGAAGCCAUUAGGUGGCAUCUUAAGAUGCCCGAAAUGCGGUGAGAGAAAUUUCAAGGAUGACGAGAAAUAUUUAUUUUGUUGGGCGUGCCGAGCCAGCUAUUGUCAACUGUGCAAACGGGUGGUCGAUAAUAAGAGGAUGAAGAGCGAGCAUUGGGGAUCGAUUGAGUGCCUGGGGCUUGAUAAAUUCUAG
This 1422-nucleotide ribosomal RNA is filed under the name Triticum aestivum (bread wheat). RNAcentral describes it as "partial small subunit ribosomal RNA". Lineage: Eukaryota; Viridiplantae; Streptophyta; Magnoliopsida; Poales; Poaceae. The record is from RNAcentral.